UACGUAGGGUCCGAGCGUUAUCCGGAAUUAUUGGGCGUAAAGAGUACGUAGGUGGUGUGGUAAGUUAUUCGUUAAAUCGCAAAGCUCAACUUUGCAACCGCGGAUAAUACUGCCAUUCUUGAGGAUAGCAGGGGCAAGUGGAAUUCUGUAAGUAGCAGUGAAAUGCGUUGAUAUGCAGAGGAACACCAAUGGCGAAGGCAGCUUGCUAGGCUAUAUCUGACACUGAGGUACGAAAGCGUGGGUAGCGAACGGG
This 253-nucleotide ribosomal RNA is filed under the name uncultured microorganism. Its description in RNAcentral is "partial small subunit ribosomal RNA". It matches the Rfam family "Bacterial small subunit ribosomal RNA", at positions 524 to 776 of the family's 1533-position model. The record is from RNAcentral.